RNAcentral lists this transfer RNA (87 nucleotides) under bacterium. RNAcentral's name for it is "tRNA-Leu". It matches the Rfam family "tRNA". Rfam says of the family: Transfer RNA (tRNA) molecules are approximately 80 nucleotides in length. Their secondary structure includes four short double-helical elements and three loops (D, anti-codon, and T loops). RNAcentral also lists the same sequence under 3 other names. The record is from RNAcentral.
GCCCAGGUGGCGGAAUUGGUAGACGCGCACGCUUGAGGGGCGUGUAGGAGCAAUCCUGUGGAAGUUCGAGUCUUCUCCUGGGCACCA